RNAcentral lists this unclassified non-coding RNA (258 nucleotides) under Bombus terrestris (buff-tailed bumblebee). Its description in RNAcentral is "misc RNA ENSBTSG00005035763.1". Lineage: Eukaryota; Metazoa; Arthropoda; Insecta; Hymenoptera; Apidae. The record is from RNAcentral.
UGAUUAUCGUUUCGAAGAAACAAUGGGCUCACCUUGCAACGAGGAAACACUUCGAUCCAGCGCGAGGAGAUUCGAACAAAACGGAGCGGCAUCGAUACGCAACACGCUUGAUUAUACGCUGUAAAUUCUGCGAGAGGAAACAUUGGGAAUAGGGAAGAAUGGGUAUGGCGAGGGAGAGUGGCGAGGAGCGAAGGGAAGGAGAGAAGCGAGGAACCAAAGGAAGGAGAGAGGAACGGGGUCCAACAGCAAGAACGCAAG